This 28-nucleotide non-coding RNA is filed under the name Rattus norvegicus (Norway rat). Lineage: Eukaryota; Metazoa; Chordata; Mammalia; Rodentia; Muridae. The record is from RNAcentral.
UGACAAUGCUGUGUGUUGUUGUUGAUGA